AGAGUUUGAUCCUGGCUCAGAUUGAACGCUGGCGGAAUGCUUUACACAUGCAAGUCGAACGGCAGCACGGGUGCUUGCACCUGGUGGCGAGUGGCGAACGGGUGAGUAAUGCGUCGGAACGUACCGAGUAAUGGGGGAUAACGCAGCGAAAGUUGUGCUAAUACCGCAUACGCCCUGAGGGGGAAAGUGGGGGAUCGUAAGACCUCACGUUAUUCGAGCGGCCGACGUCUGAUUAGCUAGUUGGUGAGGUAAUGGCUCACCAAGGCGACGAUCAGUAGCGGGUCUGAGAGGAUGAUCCGCCACACUGGGACUGAGACACGGCCCAGACUCCUACGGGAGGCAGCAGUGGGGAAUUUUGGACAAUGGGGGCAACCCUGAUCCAGCCAUUCCGCGUGAGUGAAGAAGGCCUUCGGGUUGUAAAGCUCUUUCAGCAGGAACGAAACGGUACGCUCUAACAUAGUGUGCUAAUGACGGUACCUGCAGAAGAAGCACCGGCUAACUACGUGCCAGCAGCCGCGGUAAUACGUAGGGUGCGAGCGUUAAUCGGAAUUACUGGGCGUAAAGCGUGCGCAGGCGGAUUGUUAAGCAAGAUGUGAAAUCCCCGGGCUUAACCUGGGAAUGGCAUUUUGAACUGGCAGUCUAGAGUGUGUCAGAGGGGGGUGGAAUUCCACGUGUAGCAGUGAAAUGCGUAGAGAUGUGGAGGAACACCGAUGGCGAAGGCAGCCCCCUGGGAUAACACUGACGCUCAUGUACGAAAGCGUGGG
Molecule: ribosomal RNA, 764 nt
Filed under: uncultured bacterium
Lineage: Bacteria
Description: bacterial SSU rRNA
Rfam family: Bacterial small subunit ribosomal RNA
Source: RNAcentral